Molecule: non-coding RNA, 112 nt
Organism: Acanthosepion pharaonis
Lineage: Eukaryota; Metazoa; Mollusca; Cephalopoda; Sepiida; Sepiidae
Source: the annotation of a GenBank genome assembly
UUACGGCCAUAUCACGUUGAAACAACGGUUCCCGUACGAUCGCCGAAGUUAAGCAACGUCGGCCUUGUCGGUACCUAGAUGGGUGAACUCUUGGGAAUACCAGGCGCUGUAA